This 700-nucleotide ribosomal RNA is filed under the name uncultured bacterium. RNAcentral's name for it is "bacterial SSU rRNA". It matches the Rfam family "Bacterial small subunit ribosomal RNA", at positions 42 to 790 of the family's 1533-position model. The record is from RNAcentral.
UCAGGCCUAACACAUGCAAGUCGAGCGCGCCUUCGGGUGAGCGGCGGACGGGUUAGUAACGCGUGGGAAUAUGCCCAAAGGUAGGGAAUAGCCUCUGGAAACGGAGAGUAAUACCCUAUGUGCCCUUCGGGGGAAAGAUUUAUCGCCUUUGGAUUAGCCCGCGUUAGAUUAGGUAGUUGGUGGGGUAAUGGCCUACCAAGCCUACGAUCUAUAGCUGGUUUUAGAGGAUGAUCAGCAACACUGGGACUGAGACACGGCCCAGACUCCUACGAGAGGCAGCAGUGGGGAAUCUUGGACAAUGGGGGCAACCCUGAUCCAGCCAUGCCGCGUGAGUGAUGAAGGCCCUAGGGUCGUAAAGCUCUUUCGCCAGGGAUGAUAAUGACAGUACCUGGCAAAGAAACCCCGGCUAACUCCGUGCCAGCAGCCGCGGUAAUACGGAGGGGGUUAGCGUUGUUCGGAAUUACUGGGCGUAAAGCGUACGUAGGCGGAUCGGAAAGUUGGGGGUGAAAUCCCGGGGCUCAACCCCGGAACUGCCUCCAAAACUAUCGGUCUAGAGUUCGAGAGAGGUGAGUGGAAUUCCGAGUGUAGAGGUGAAAUUCGUAGAUAUUCGGAGGAACACCAGUGGCGAAGGCGGCUCACUGGCUCGAUACUGACGCUGAGGUACGAAAGUGUGGGGAGCAAACAGGAUUAGAUACCCUGG